AUUGAACGCUAGCGGGAUGCUUUACACAUGCAAGUCGAACGGCAGCGCGGACUUCGGUCUGGCGGCGAGUGGCGAACGGGUGAGUAAUGUAUCGGAACGUGCCCAUUAGCGGGGGAUAACUACGCGAAAGCGUAGCUAAUACCGCAUACGCCCUACGGGGGAAAGCAGGGGAUCGUAAGACCUUGCACUAUUGGAUCGGCCGAUAUCGGAUUAGCUAGUUGGUGAGGUAACGGCUCACCAAGGCGACGAUCCGUAGCUGGUUUGAGAGGACGACCAGCCACACUGGGACUGAGACACGGCCCAGACUCCUACGGGAGGCAGCAGUGGGGAAUUUUGGACAAUGGGGGCAACCCUGAUCCAGCCAUCCCGCGUGUGCGAUGAAGGCCUUCGGGUUGUAAAGCACUUUUGGCAGGAAAGAAACGUCGCGGGCUAAUACCCCGUGGAACUGACGGUACCUGCAGAAUAAGCACCGGCUAACUACGUG
Molecule: ribosomal RNA, 484 nt
Filed under: uncultured bacterium
Lineage: Bacteria
Description: partial 16S ribosomal RNA
Rfam family: Bacterial small subunit ribosomal RNA
Source: RNAcentral